This 423-nucleotide ribosomal RNA is filed under the name uncultured delta proteobacterium. RNAcentral describes it as "bacterial SSU rRNA". It matches the Rfam family "Bacterial small subunit ribosomal RNA", at positions 958 to 1385 of the family's 1533-position model. Lineage: Bacteria; Deltaproteobacteria. RNAcentral also lists the same sequence under 1 other name. The record is from RNAcentral.
AACGCGAAGAACCUUACCGGGGCUUGACAUCGGAGGACAACUCUAGAAAUAGAGCUUAGGGGCAACCCUACUUCCAGACAGGUGCUGCAUGGCUGUCGUCAGCUCGUGCCGUGAGGUGUUGGGUUAAGUCCCGCAACGAGCGCAACCCUCGUCGUGUGUUGGUCCACAAGAUCUCUCACACGAGACCGCCGGUGAGAAGCCGGAGGAAGGUGGGGAUGACGUCAAGUCAGCAUGGCCCUUACGUCCCGGGCUACACACGUGCUACAAUGCGCCGAACAACGAGCUGCGAACCCGCGAGGGUAAGCCAAUCUCUUAAAUCGGCGCUCAGUUCGGAUUGAAGGCUGCAACUCGCCUUCAUGAAGUCGGAAUCGCUAGUAAACGCAGAUCAGCUACGCUGCGUUGAAUACGUUCCCGGGCCUUGUA